This 447-nucleotide ribosomal RNA is filed under the name Rhopalothripoides froggatti. RNAcentral's name for it is "partial 16S ribosomal RNA". Lineage: Eukaryota; Metazoa; Arthropoda; Insecta; Thysanoptera; Phlaeothripidae. The record is from RNAcentral.
UUCUUAUUAAUAUAAAUUAUAAGUAUCACCUGCCCGGUGAAUUUUAAACGGUUAUAUAAUAAUACUAAGGUAGCGUAAUAAAUUAUCACUUAAUUAGUGAAUAAAAUGAAGGUUAAAUGAAUUAAAAACUGUCUCUAUUAUAAAUAAAAAAAUUAAUAAUUUAGUGAAAAAUCUUAAUUUAUUUUAAGGGACGAUAAGACCCUAUAGAACUUAUUUAAAAUAUUAAAUUUACUGGGGAAGUAAAAAUAAAAUCAAAACUAUUUUUUAAGUUAAAAACCAUUAGUAUUAUCCAUUAUAUUAUGAUUAAAAAGKUACCUUAGGGAUAACAGCAUUAAUAAUAUAAGAAGUCCUUAUUUUAAUAUUCUUUAAUGACCUCGAUGUUGAAUUAAGAUUAAUUAGUAAAGCAAAAAUUUCUUUCAAUUAGGUCUGUUCGACCUUUAAAAUUUU